RNAcentral lists this ribosomal RNA (389 nucleotides) under uncultured bacterium. Its description in RNAcentral is "bacterial SSU rRNA". It matches the Rfam family "Bacterial small subunit ribosomal RNA", at positions 28 to 416 of the family's 1533-position model. The record is from RNAcentral.
AUUGAACGCUGGCGGCAUGCUUUACACAUGCAAGUCGAGCGGCAGCGCGGGGGGCAACCCUGGCGGCGAGCGGCGAACGGGUGAGUAAUGCAUCGGAACGUACCCUGGAGUGGGGGAUAACGCCGCGAAAGCGGCGCUAAUACCGCAUAUGCUCUGAGGAGGAAAGUGGGGGACCCGCAAGGGCCUCAUGCUCUGGGAGCGGCCGAUGUCCGAUUAGCUAGUUGGUGAGGUAAAGGCUUACCAAGGCGACGAUCGGUAGCUGGUCUGAGAGGAUGAUCAGCCACACUGGGACUGAGACACGGCCCAGACUCCUACGGGAGGCAGCAGUGGGGAAUUUUGGACAAUGGGGGCAACCCUGAUCCAGCCAUGCCGCGUGAGUGAAGAAGGCC